CCAGAAAGCUCAUUAGGCUGACUUGAUUUACCUUCAGCAGAAAGGUAUUAGGUUGGUGCAAAAGUAAUUGCAGUUUUUGCCAUUCUUUUUUCUUUUUUUUUUUAAUGGCUGCCACCUCUAUCACAAUCAGGAAAGUCACUGUAGAGUGUCAGGCAGCUUCCACAGGAACUGUUGGCUUCAGGAGGGCACCACUGUGUGAGCCAGGAAUCAGGAGUGGGCUGCCACUAGGACUUGUAGCUGUAUAUGCACUCCACGCAUGCUAGACGGGCAUUGGCAAGACAUGGUGUCUUGUUCCUCUUCUCUCACUAUCAUAAAGCUGGUACCUGGAUGUAGAAUGCUGCUUCUGCA
This 348-nucleotide long non-coding RNA is filed under the name Homo sapiens (human). RNAcentral describes it as "HSALNT0182863". The record is from RNAcentral. Lineage: Eukaryota; Metazoa; Chordata; Mammalia; Primates; Hominidae.